UGCCUGCUGGCCGCACAACCCCGCUCCGCAGAGGAAUGGACCUUCCAAUCUUGCUGAGUGUGUUUGACCAAAGGUGGUGCUGACUUAGUGGCCUAAGGUCGUGCCCUCCCUCCCCCACUGAAUCGAUAAAUAAUGCGACUUAUCACAAAGAGAAAGAAUUGUUUACUUUUAAACCCUGGAUCCCAUAAAGGGAGAGGGGAGAGGCCUAAAGCCACAGAAGCUGUGGAAGGCGCCAUCCUGCCUGCCACAGGAAGGGCCCUGGACUGAGAGGACCGGAGCUGACUGGGGAUUAUUCAAAGCCAAAAGCCAACAGAGCCCCCAUGGAGAAGUGGAGGAUGCUCAGAUGCUACUAUGGAGCCCUGAGAAGUGAAAUGGGCCCAAGCCCUUGCCCAGGAUAGAGCACUCCAAGCAUGUCCUCCGGGGACCCUUUUAACCAGUGAAUUGUUCACCUCUCACUGUUUCUUCCCAACGGAGCUAAGAGACUUCUAGAGCCUCUUGUGAUGGUCAGCGAUAGCCCUGGAAGUUUUUGCAGAAGGGGUUUGUUGGGUGGCAGUGGAACACAGGCCGUGGACCCCUUUACUACUCUACUCUUCCAGAACACAGAAGCCUUUCAUCUGUGAGUCUUCAGCUCUUCUCAUUGCUCAAGAUGCUUGCACCCAUGAUGCUUCUUUUCUCUGGUCAGGUCACAAUAUGUGGAGCUGACAAGGUUCCCCUAUUAUCAGUGACAAUGGUGGAAUGUGGAGGUGAAGUUAACACCUUCGUGGCUACAGAUUUUCCUUAGCAGAGCUGUGGAGUGUGACAAUGGUGUUUGUGUCUAAACUAUCAAACGCCAUUAUCACACUAAAUAGCUACUGCUAGGCAAUCCUUCCCUCGAUAAAUGUCUUGGCAUCGUUUGCUUUGAGCAAGAAGGUUCAUCUGAUAUCAGUGUUCCCAAUCUUGUGUACUUACUAAAUAAAGUCUGGUUCUCUUGCACUCAUAACCAA
Molecule: long non-coding RNA, 983 nt
Organism: Symphalangus syndactylus (siamang)
Lineage: Eukaryota; Metazoa; Chordata; Mammalia; Primates; Hylobatidae
Source: RefSeq, a predicted model, not a curated record